CGCAGUUACAGAGAGAGAAGGGGGCAACCACCCACACUUCAACACAGAAAAACAGAGAGACCCAGGAACACACUACUUUGAUCCGAUGAGCAACAACAGCCCUACAGCUAUACUAAUCUUUGUGGUCCCACAAGAGCUACAUGAAACAAGCUCCCGAGAUGCAGAAGCUCAUGGGCUCCUCUGACAUCCUCAGGUAUUUUUGUAAUUGCCACAUGAAGAACAGGGUGGUAUAUGGGCACAUCCAACCCAUGUCUGCUCAUACGCAGGAAAGCCAGCAACUGAGUAACUGAGUCGUUAAAAAGUAACAAAUCAAAACAAAAUACCCCUCUUACUCAAAGAAAACAAAACAAAAAACCUUCACACCUCCUCUGAGGAGUUUAUGGCUUAAAAUGCUCUCUCACUUUUUGUUUCAUGGAUGAACAAAGCUGCAGUUUUCCAGAAAGCAAGGACAGACAUGCACCUCUACUAGCAGAUUUAGCACUUCUGACCAAGACACCAACUUCUUAAAAAUGUCUCAUGCACUGACUGGAAAUUUUUUCUUUUUUUUUUUUUCCCUACAUGUGAGCUUUGAGACAUUAUUUCUUUUUAGAACUUGUACGGGAACCAGAAUGGGAAGAUCCAGAUGAUGAUCUGCGGCGUCUUUCGGGUGACCGUGAUCUCGAUCGUCUUUUUUUGCGAUCACCAGAUGAAGAAGAUCUAGAGCGACUGCGCUUCUUGCUCCUCUCGGGGGACGAGGACGAACGAGAGCUUGAGUAAGAUCUUUUCCUUGGGGUUGAAGACCCCCUGUAGGACCUGGAGCUGGAUCUUGAUUUCGACCCACGAGAUCUAGAGUGUUCUCUGGAACUGGAACGAGAUCUUGAUCUGGAACUGGAAGAACUUCUUGAAUGGGACCUGGACCUAGACCUUGAGCUUGAAUGAGAGGAUGAGCGUGAUGAAGAUCGUGAGUGGGAAGAUCGAGACUUAGAGCGACUGCGCCUAUUGGAUUUCUUUUUCUUAUUAGUGUCCUCUUCUUCACUGGCAUCAAGAUUAUAUUUUGAGAGGUCAGCAUCAUCUUCAUCCUCAUCCUCAUCCAAUUUGUAUUUGGAAAGAUCUCCAUCCUCAUCCUCCUCAUCUUCCCCCUCAGAUUCCUUAUCUUCUACUUCCUUCAGGAUAGAUGCUGGACCAACUGGUUUUCCUCUAUACUUUUUCUUUUUGCGACCAAACUCAUCAUAUUCCCCAUCUGAUUCUUCACGUUCUAUAUAUUCAACAUUCUCUCGUUCAUUAAAUCCUCCUCCAUAUCCUGUCCGUUCCUCCAAUUUAGCAUACUUCGGAGUAUUACACAUAUUACAUUCUGACCUUCUGGCCCAGUUCACGUUACCACAUGUUUUGCACUGCCAGUCAUUGGCGCUGAAGAGGCCGCGGCUCUUCUCCGCCAGAGUCUUCCCUAUCUCCGUGCCUCCGGCUUUCAUCAUUUUGGCUUCAGUCGUUUUCUCUCUCCCACAGCGGUUGCAGCUGGUCCUCCUGGCGAAGUUCACGUUCCCACACUUCUUGUCGGGGCAGAUCCAGUCCCCGUCGCUCACGCGGAAAUUCUUGGUCGACAUCUCGGACCCGCAGAGCCCCGCCGAGCGCCGCCGCCGCCGCCGCGCAGGAGGAAGAGGACCGGGGCCCUGCGCCGGCCGGGCUGCCCGCGGCGCCUGCGCCCCGCGGCCUCAGCGAGCCGGGCUCGCGCCGGGCGGGAUUUCGGUCAGGCAGCGCCUCGGCCGCCUCAGCCCGGCUGCGCGGAGAGGGUGCGGAGAACGCGCGCCCCCAGCGGCCCGGAGGGCUGCCUGCAGCUCGCGCCGUGCGCGGGGGCCGCGGGAGGCGUCGUCAGCGGCAGCGGGGAGCGGCGGGGGGCGGCCUCGGCAGCUCGGCAGUUCGGCACCUCAGCCUCAGAGCUCGGGGCUCUCGGCGGGACGGCGCGCCCGGAUAGCCGCCCGCUGCCGGUGUGCGUCCGCGGGGCGGUCGGCUGCGGCCUCGCUCGUGCCGGGAGCGGCGGUUGCUCUGAGCAACGUGACGACGUCCCACGAGAACGCGGGGACAGUUUGAGCUGCGAGUGACGCGCGGCCUCGGCGUGGACAUAGCGCCAGAACGUCCACACGAAGCCUUUUGCUUCUUCCCGUGUGGGCGCUUCGUCAGCGCAGGUCCCUAAAACGAAGUAAGAAAGCAACUAAAAGCUGUGGAGCGCCCAGUUACUGCCCGCAGUGCGUGCGGACAGAGCUGCGCUGCCGCCAUCGGUGACGGACAGCAGGUGGCACUUCGGCAACGCGCGUCGUUUUCCCAGGGACUGCCGUUGAAAACGAGAGGCCUGCUUUGUUCCGGCAUUCAGUGCCGUAACACAUUGAUAGGGCUAUUUCCCCCCAUAACCCCAAUAAGCAAACAGACAAAAAGCAUCGCCGUCACCCUGCGUGAACAGCACUGGAAGUUGAAUGCGGGAUGAGCUUUGCCUUGCGUGCGGUACCGGGUCACACCGGGCCUCCAGCCGGGCCUCCCGCAGGCAGCGCUCUGUUCUGCCCGUUCCCUGCAGUGGGGGACGGGGAGAAGCCGAAACCAGAGGCUGUGCAACCUGAUGUGUUAGAAGAAAAUCGGUAUCUCGGCCUCGGGAGGAGCUGGACUGAGUUUUGACAUGCUUAGGAAAGACGGCGCUCUGGAAUCCUGUUUUCCCAUUGAGGUCAUUGCUCGUGGGUCCACGGCAGCACUCGGGGUUGGGGUCUCCCUCGUGCCGGUGCCUGAAGAAGCGCUGAAGGAGUGAAGGCAGAACCUGCUGAGGUUUCACCGCCUUCGCGUGGCUCCUGGGCCGUACAGGGAUCAACUUCUGGGCAACGAGAUUCGAAGGGGGCACAGAGCGCACCUUUCCAACUUGAGCAGCAAAAUCCUCGUGCUGCUCAGGUCCUGAAAUAGAGCCCCGCCGUGGAUGACUUCAAGGACAGGAAUUUGUUCCUUAUCCCUGGAUUUCUCUUAAGGGAAAUCAGGACACGGAAAUUUAAAUUUUACAUUAAGAAACGAAUCAGGAUAGGCACUUUCUGCUUUAAAAAUAAGCGUGGGCAAAAUUGCAACUCACCUGGUAAUAAUUUGAGGCUUAAAUGUUUUAAAACUUCCCCAAAAUUAAUGAGAAGAAUAUUUCAGUGGUAUUUGCUCUCUUCUGAAGGGAGCUCCCCAGGGAAGCCUCUGGCCAGGCAGAGGUUGCAUGCAGUCAGCCACGUUCUGGAAAUCAGACCUUUGCCUGAAUGUGCAGAGGGAGUGUUUCUGUAAUUUCUGUUUGUUCUGUCCAUUUACUUCAAAGCUUACGUUAAAAGCUGAAAAGCCACCCAGGGACUGAAAAAAAGCAUGAAUGAUUUUUUAAAUUGAUGAAUAAAUUUAUUUAAAUCAUGAAUGUCUUAAUUAAUUUAUGGAGCGAGACCCAAGUGAACCAGAUCUAAAGUCCUGGAGGGCUCUGUGACCAGGCAGCCAGCUCAGCUCAGUGACUAUGCGGGGUACUCCCUUCUCUUAAUAAACCAGGUAGCUUUGCUUAAAAUUUUUUGAUAUGCUCAUCUGCUUUUCCCAUGUUUCUUAUGCAAAGCUCCAUUAAAAUAUCCACUUCACAUUUCAAAACGCUUUGUGAACAUUUGUGUUGCAUUCCUGCUUCUGUCAUAAUACAUUUUGGCUUCAAGCGUAUGUAAGGACUGAUAAUAACAAAGUAAAUGAGAAAUACAUCACCCUUCAGUUUAACAUAAUGAAACUGAACAGUUGAGCAUGAAAAAAUGUAUAGGAAACUCUUUAAUUGGCCUGUCUCUAGACAGCAGAUUCCUACCAACAAGCACGGAAUAUCAGUUUUCUUGAAGAAAAACUGAAUGAUAUGAAGGCCAGCUGAGAUCAAAGCCAGGUAAUUAAAGGAAGGUUGCCUGUGCUUCAUUGCUCUUUCAUUCUGUUUUUGUGGCCUCCAAGUACAGUGUCUGCAUGCCACACUUUAUUAAGCAGUAUGAGGCACCUAGGAUUUUAAGCAUCACUUUAAAGCACUCAAUACCUUAUUGAUGCUUUCCAAGACAUAACAGUAAUAGCAAUUUCAAAUAUAUGAGUUAAAUGCGAGCGAUGCGCUUCCAUCAGGUCAAACCCAGCAGUUGUGAAAGUCUGUUUGUGUUGUUGUAGUGGGAUAUACAUGAAAGUGUAUUUGUAUAAAAGAGGCAGUGAAAAUGCAGUCCCCGUGUUGAAAAGCACAAAUGCUGUCCUCUCUUCAAGACACUCACAGGUCUGUGAUGUACAAUGAAAUACAAAGAUUGCUGUGCAGGAAAGCAGCUUAGGACGUACCAAGCAUUUGGAGAGUUUGCUUUCCAAAGUUUGUUUCAAUUUUCAUGAGUGACAGAUGUUUUGUCAUGGAAUUUUU
RNAcentral lists this long non-coding RNA (4375 nucleotides) under Gallus gallus (chicken). Lineage: Eukaryota; Metazoa; Chordata; Aves; Galliformes; Phasianidae. The record is from RNAcentral.